Non-coding RNA from Cordylochernes scorpioides, 65 nucleotides. The record is from the annotation of a GenBank genome assembly. NCBI's taxonomy places the organism in Eukaryota, Metazoa, Arthropoda, Arachnida, Pseudoscorpiones, Chernetidae.
UGCAUCGGCCGGGAAUCGAACCCGGGCCGCCCGCGUGGCGCAUUCUACCACUGAACCACCGAUGC